This 1493-nucleotide ribosomal RNA is filed under the name metagenome. RNAcentral's name for it is "bacterial LSU rRNA". It matches the Rfam family "Bacterial large subunit ribosomal RNA", at positions 1282 to 2791 of the family's 2925-position model. The record is from RNAcentral.
AUGGAAGAGAGAAUGCCGGCGUGAGUAGCGGCACGUGGGUGAGAAUCCCACGCACCGAUGGCCCAAGGUCUCCAGAGGAAGGCUCGUCCUCUCUGGGAUAGUCGGGACCUAAGGCGAGACCGAAAGGCGUAGCCGAUGGACGACGGGUGGAUAUUCCCGUACCCGAUGUGUGGCGAUGGAGUGACGGAGAAGGCUCAGGCAACCAGCUGCUGGAAUAGCUGGGGCAAGCGAGAUACCUGCGCACCAGGGAAAUCCGGUGCGCGCAAGGGGAAGGCGCGAAGCAUACGGAAAGCUGCGGCAAGUACGGAAAAGCUGAGAGCAGGCUUCCAGGAAAAGCUUCUAGCACAACACGCAUCGGCCCGUACCGAAAAUGGACACACAUGGGCAAGGAGAGAAUCCUGAGGUGAGCGAGAGAACUAUAGCUAAGGAACUCUGCAAAAUGACCCCGUAACUUAGGGAGAAGGGGUGCUCCAGAAAUGGAGCCGCAGUAAAACGGCCCAAGCGACUGUUUACCAAAAACACAGCUCUCUGCGAAGGCGCAAGCCGAAGUAUAGGGGGUGACGCCUGCCCGGUGCUGGAAAGUCAAGGGGAGCUGUCAGCGCAAGCGAAGCAGCGAGCCGAAGCCCCAGUAAACGGCGGCCGUAACGAUAACGGUCCUAAGGUAGCGAAAUUCCUUGUCGGGCAAGUUCCGACCCGCACGAAAGGCGUAACGAUUUGGGCGCUGUCUCAGCUGUAGACUCGGUGAAGUCUUAGUACCUGUGAAGACGCAGGUUGCCCGCGACUAGACGGAAAGACCCCAUGGAGCUUCACUGCAGGUUGACAUUGGGCUUGGAUGCAUGAUGUACAGGAUAGGUGGGAGGCUGUGAGCCGUGCGCGCCAGCGUACGGGGAGCCGCUGUUGGGAUACCACCCUUCAUGCAUCUAGGUCCUAACCGGAGGCAACGGGCCACGGGACAGUGUCAGUCGGGCAGUUUGACUGGGGCGGUCGCCUCCCAAAGAGUAACGGAGGCGCCCAAAGAUACCCUCAGCAUGGAUGGAAACCAUGCAUAGAGUGCAAAGGCAUAAGGGUGUCUGACUGCGAGACAUACAGGUCGAGCAGGGACGAAAGUCGGGCUUAGUGAUCCGGCAGAUCCGAAUGGAAGGGCCGUCGCUCAACGGAUAAAAGCUACCCUGGGGAUAACAGGCUGAUCUCCCCCAAGAGUUCACAUCGACGGGGAGGUUUGGCACCUUGAUGUCGGCUCAUCGCAUCCUGGAGCUGAAGUCGGUUCCAAGGGUUGGGCUGUUCGCCCAUUAAAGCGGUACGCGAGCUGGGUUCAGAACGUCGUGAGACAGUUCGGUCCCUAUCUGUCGUGGGCGCAGGAGGUUUGAGGAGAGCUGCCCCUAGUACGAGAGGACCGGGGUGGACGGACCGAUGGUGCACCAGUUGUCACGCCAGUGGCACAGCUGGGCAGCCAAGUCCAGGCGGGAUAAGCGCUGAAGGCAUCUAAGCGUGAA